Bos taurus (domestic cattle) is the source of this 1044-nucleotide long non-coding RNA. The record is from Ensembl. NCBI's taxonomy places the organism in Eukaryota, Metazoa, Chordata, Mammalia, Artiodactyla, Bovidae.
GAUCCCACAUGGUUGGUGAACUUUUAAGAUGAGGAGAGAGACAAAGAGGAGAGGACCAGGUGAAGAUAGAUACAUGGGAGAAGAUGGCACGUGAAGACGGAGGCAGAGAUUGGAGCCGUGUGUCUACCAGUCAAGGAAGGCCAAGAGAACAGGACUGUCCAGGAGAUCAGAGAAUUCUAUUUUCCGUGGGAUGAGAAGACUUCAGAGUCCUGCCCAUGUCUUCUAAUCUUCGGCUCCCAAAUCCUGGGUUCUUCCUCGGGCACCCUGACGGUGAAGAAAGGGCCUUAGGUACCUCAGUAGCUUUUGUACUGACAUCACUGUAUGACCACGUGGUACGAAACAAAUGGGACCACAGAACAUGAGAAUUAAGAUCAACGCUUGGUGUCGUCAGGCUACCUCUGAGAGCCAGAGAGGUGAAGAAACUUGCUCAAGUUUGCACAGCUAGCCAGGCAAGCCAGGUGCUCCCAUCCCACCUGCCUCCCUUGAGGCUCUAGGAUUUUACUGCCCAAGAAAGAGAUGCAAUCAGUGUCACGAAUACCUGUCUGCCUACAGAGAAGCAAAAAUUCAGCUUGUGUGUCUGAGACCUGAGACAGAGCUGAAGGCAUGGGGUCACCACUGCCCAGCCAGCCAUGCAUCUGGCUCCCAGGCUGGAUCUGGUGAGAGGAGACUCAUGAGGCUUCUCCAGGCAACAACUGAACAAAGACAUCCACCCCUCAUUCCACUCGAACUGUUUUCACCUGGUGAGGAGCUGCAGAUAGGCUUCAGAACACUGGGACAGGUGUUAAUAAAAUAGUCACCCGUCCCCUGCGAACUGAAGAAAAAGAAACAAUGAAUUUUCCGGUUUACUAGAUUUAUCCGUUUGAAAGCACUGUCCUUUUAUUCUGAGAUUAUUUCUGAAAUGAAGAAGAGAAACGCAGUGAAUUUUUCCAUCCUGCUGCUGCUGCUGCUGCUAAGUCACGUCAGUCGUGUCUGACUCUGUGUGACCCCAUAGACGGUACCCAACAGGCUCCUCUGUCCCUGGGAUUCUCCAGGCAAGUUCCAUCC